GGCUGAAGCCCCACCAGGAGACGGACCCGGGACCCUCAGACCCCCGUCCAGCGCUCAUUCUGCACAGACCCGCCGGAGAAACAGCUACCUGCAGUUUACACCGACAUAACAAACAGGGAACAAUCUUCACAUAUGGAUCUGAUGAAGGAGGAAGAAAGGCAAAAAGACUUUGACAUAGGGGUCUGAAGUUCCCCCCAUGUCCAUAGCAGCAAGAUCCUGAGCCUGAAGGAUACCCACUAUGAGCUUUAGAGGAAAGAGAAAAAGUAUCAGUGACCAGACCUACCUGGGAAUCUGUGAAGUUGUAGUCCAAGGAGAACUCCAGCUUACCCAACUUUUCCUGUUCCUUCUCCUCUUCCUCACCUUCCUUCUUCACCUCCCCCUCCUACAGGACCAAAACAUGUCCAUCAUGAGGAUCUUAAUCAGCAUUUUUUGAAAACGCAGAAGAUGAAGCAUGCUACCAAAACUAGGACCAACACAACAAUGGCUCCUACUGCCCACACGGGAACUGCAAAAUUAAGAGAUGGCUCAGCAGCCCGCCGAAGUCGAACCCCAGCGCUGACCAGCCUCAUGUUUCCUGUCAAAACGGCAGAUUCACAUUGUGUUAUGCUGUCUGUCAACUUGGCUCAUACA
Acanthochromis polyacanthus (spiny chromis) is the source of this 630-nucleotide long non-coding RNA. RefSeq lists it as uncharacterized. The record is from RefSeq and is a predicted model, not a curated record. NCBI's taxonomy places the organism in Eukaryota, Metazoa, Chordata, Actinopteri, Pomacentridae. The transcript is spliced from 6 exons.